GACGAACGCUGGCGGCGUGCUUAACACAUGCAAGUCGAACGGAAAGGCUCCAGCUUGCUGGAGUACUCGAGUGGCGAACGGGUGAGUAACACGUGGGUAAUCUGCCCUGCACUCUGGGAUAAGCCUGGGAAACUGGGUCUAAUACUGGAUAUGACCUUUCUCCUUAUGGGGUUUGGUGGAAAGUUUUUCGGUGUAGGAUGAGCCCGCGGCCGAUCAGCUUGUUGGUGGGGUGAUGGCCUACCAAGGCGACGACGGGUAGCCGGCCUGAGAGGGUGAUCGGCCACAUUGGGACUGAGGUACGGCCCAGACUCCUACGGGCGGCAGCAGUGGGGAAUAUUGCGCAAUGGGCGCAAGCCUGAUGCAGCGACGCCGCGUGAGGGAUGACGGCCUUCGGGUUGUAAACCUCUUUCGGCAGGGACGAAGCGUAAGUGACGGUACCUGCAGAAGAAGCACCGGCUAACUACGUG
This 467-nucleotide ribosomal RNA is filed under the name uncultured bacterium. Its description in RNAcentral is "partial 16S ribosomal RNA". It matches the Rfam family "Bacterial small subunit ribosomal RNA", at positions 28 to 507 of the family's 1533-position model. The record is from RNAcentral.